This 497-nucleotide ribosomal RNA is filed under the name uncultured bacterium. RNAcentral describes it as "partial 16S ribosomal RNA". It matches the Rfam family "Bacterial small subunit ribosomal RNA", at positions 28 to 507 of the family's 1533-position model. The record is from RNAcentral.
GAUGAACGCUGGCGGCGUGCCUAAUACAUGCAAGUCGAGCGAACAGACGAGGAGCUUGCUCCACUGACGUUAGCGGCGGAAGGGUGAGUAACACGUGGAUAACCUACCUAUAAGACUGGGAUAACUUCGGGAAACCGGAGCUAAUACCGGAUAAUAUAUUGAACCGCAUGGUUCAAUAGUUAAAGACGGUUUUGCUGUCACUUAUAGAUGGAUCCGCGCCGCAUUAGCUAGUUGGUAAGGUAACGGCUUACCAAGGCGACGAUGCGUAGCCGACCUGAGAGGGUGUUCGGCCACACUGGAACUGAGACACGGUCCAGACUCCGACGGGAGGCAGCAGUAGGGAAUCUUCCGCGAUGGGCGAAAGCCUGACGGAGCAACGCCGCUUGAGUGAUGAAGCUCUUCGGAUCGUAAAACGCUGUUAUUAGUGAAGAACAAAUGUGUAAGUAACUAUGCACGUCUUGACGGUACCUAAACAGAAAGCCACGGCUAACUACGUG